RNAcentral lists this ribosomal RNA (300 nucleotides) under uncultured bacterium. RNAcentral describes it as "bacterial SSU rRNA". The stretch from base 1 to 247 matches the Rfam family "Bacterial small subunit ribosomal RNA", at positions 114 to 358 of the family's 1533-position model. The record is from RNAcentral.
CGCGUAUAGAAUCUACCUUACACUGAGGGAUAGCCUUUGGAAACGAAGAUUAAUACCUCAUAGUAUAUUGACUUGGCAUCAAGAUAAUAUUAAAGGUUACGGUGUAAGAUGACUAUGCGUUCUAUUAGCUAGAUGGUAAGGUAACGGCUUACCAUGGCAACGAUAGAUAGGGGCCCUGAGAGGGGGAUCCCCCACCACUGGUACGUGAGACACGGACCGACGACUCCUACGGGAGGGCAGCAGUGAGGAAGUAAUUGGUACGAAAUAGGAGGGCGAACUACUGAUCCACGCCACUGCCGC